CCCCGGCGCCACAAGUGGUCAUCGCGAUUAUUGGGCCUAAAGCGUUCGUAGCCGGUUCGGUAAAUCUCUUGUGAAAUUGUUCGGCUUAACCGGACAGCGUGCAGGAGACACUGCCGAUCUCGAGACCGGGAGGCGUAUGAAGUAUGUCAUGGGGACUGGUAAAAUGGGAUAAUCCAUGAUAGACUACCGAUGGCGAAGGCAUCAUACGAGAACGGAUCUGACGGUGAGGAACGAAAGCCAGGGGA
RNAcentral lists this ribosomal RNA (245 nucleotides) under uncultured archaeon. RNAcentral's name for it is "partial 16S ribosomal RNA". It matches the Rfam family "Archaeal small subunit ribosomal RNA", at positions 474 to 718 of the family's 1478-position model. The record is from RNAcentral.